RNAcentral lists this ribosomal RNA (337 nucleotides) under uncultured bacterium. RNAcentral's name for it is "bacterial SSU rRNA". It matches the Rfam family "Bacterial small subunit ribosomal RNA", at positions 457 to 793 of the family's 1533-position model. The record is from RNAcentral.
UCGUGAGGGUGCCUGACGGUACUGUAGGAAUAAGCACCGGCUAACUCCGUGCCAGCAGCCGCGGUAAUACGGAGGGUGCGAGCGUUAUCCGGAUUUAUUGGGUUUAAAGGGUCCGUAGGCGGAUUAAUAAGUCAGUGGUGAAAUCCCAUCGCUUAACGAUGGAACUGCCAUUGAUACUGUUAGUCUUGAAUGAGGGUGCAGUGGUUGGAAUGUGUAGUGUAGCGGUGAAAUGCAUAGAUAUUACACAGAACACCGAUUGCGAAGGCAGAUCACUAACCCUAAAUUGACGCUGAGGGACGAAAGCGUGGGGAGCGAACAGGAUUAGAUACCCUGGUAG